CACGAAGUGACCUAGCCUAGUUCGGAAUUACUCGGCGUAAAGCGCACGCAGGCGGAUUGGUAAGUCAGGGGUGAAAUCACGGGGCUCAACCUCGGAAUUGCCUUUGAUACUGCCAAUCUUGAGUCCGGGAGAGGUGAGUGGAAUUCCUAGUGUAGAGGUGAAAUUCGUAGAUAUUAGGAAGAACACCAGUGGCGAAGGCGGCUCACUGGCCCGGUACUGACGCUCAGGUGCGAAAGCGUGGGGAGCAAACAGG
Molecule: ribosomal RNA, 253 nt
Filed under: uncultured bacterium
Lineage: Bacteria
Description: partial 16S ribosomal RNA
Rfam family: Bacterial small subunit ribosomal RNA
Source: RNAcentral